UACAGAGGGUGCAAGCGUUAAUCGGAAUUACUGGGCGUAAAGCGUGCGUAGACGGUUAUGUAAGUCAGAUGUGAAAGCCCCGGGCUUAACCUGGGAAUGGCAUUUGGGACUGCAAGGCUUGAGUGCGGCAGAGGAGACUGGAAUUCCUGGUGUAGCAGUGAAAUGCGUAGAUAUCAGGAGGAAUACCGAUGGCGAAGGCAGGUCUCUGGGCUGACACUGACGCUCAUGCACGAAAGCGUGGGGAGCAAACAGG
Molecule: ribosomal RNA, 253 nt
Filed under: uncultured bacterium
Lineage: Bacteria
Description: partial 16S ribosomal RNA
Rfam family: Bacterial small subunit ribosomal RNA
Source: RNAcentral